GACGAACGCUGGCGGCGUGCUUAACACAUGCAAGUCGAACGGUGAAGCUCCAGCUUGCUGGAGUGGAUCAGUGGCGAACGGGUGAGUAACACGUGAGCAACCUGCCCCUGACUCUGGAAUAAGCGCUGGAAACGGCGUCUAAUACUGGAUACGAGAAGGGUCCGCAUGGGCACUUUCUGGAAAGUUUUUCGGUUGGGGAUGGGCUCGCGGCCUAUCAGCUUGUUGGUGAGGUAAUGGCUCACCAAGGCGACGACGGGUAGCCGGCCUGAGAGGGCGACCGGCCACACUGGGACUGAGACGCGGCCCAGACUCCUACGGGAGGCAGCAGUGGGGAAUAUUGCACAAUGGGCGAAAGCCUGAUGCAGCGACGCCGCGUGAGGGAUGACGGCCUUCGGGUUGUAAACCUCUUUCAGCAGGGAAGAAGCGAAAGUGACGGUACCUGCAGAAGAAGCACCGGCUAACUACGU
This 467-nucleotide ribosomal RNA is filed under the name uncultured bacterium. RNAcentral's name for it is "partial 16S ribosomal RNA". It matches the Rfam family "Bacterial small subunit ribosomal RNA", at positions 28 to 506 of the family's 1533-position model. The record is from RNAcentral.